UACAGAGGUCUCAAGCGUUGUUCGGAUUCAUUGGGCGUAAAGGGUGCGUAGGCGGCGCGGUAAGUCGGGUGUGAAAUCUCGGAGCUUAACUCCGAAACUGCAUUCGAUACUGCCGUGCUUGAGGACUGGAGAGGAGACUGGAAUUCAUGGUGUAGCGGUGAAAUGCGUUGAUAUCCACAGGAACGCCGGUGGCGAAAGCGACAGGCUGGAUCUCUUCUGACGCUGAGGCGCGAAAGCCAGGGGAGCAAACGGG
RNAcentral lists this ribosomal RNA (253 nucleotides) under uncultured bacterium. RNAcentral's name for it is "partial 16S ribosomal RNA". It matches the Rfam family "Bacterial small subunit ribosomal RNA", at positions 524 to 776 of the family's 1533-position model. The record is from RNAcentral.